UGCAAGUCGAGCGAGAAAGUAUCUUCGGAUAUGAGUAGAGCGGCGGACGGGUGAGAAACGCGUAGGAAUCUACCUAGUAGAAGGGGAUAGCCCGGGGAAACUCGGAUUAAUACCGUAUACCUCCUAAGGGAGAAAGAGGGCCUCUCUUGAAGCUCUCGCUAUUAGAUGAGCCUGCGUAAGAUUAGCUUGUUGGUAAGGUAAUGGCUUACCAAGGCUACGAUCUUUAGCUGGUCUGAGAGGACGAUCAGCCACAUUGGGACUGAGACACGGCCCAGACUCCUACGGGAGGCAGCAGUGGGGAAUAUUGGACAAUGGGCGCAAGCCUGAUCCAGCCAUACCGCGUGUGUGAAGAAGGCCUUCGGGUUGUAAAGCACUUUAAGCAGGGAGAAAAAGCGAUAAGUUAAUACCUUAUUGCCGUGAUGUUACCUGCAGAAUAAGCACCGGCUAAUUCCGUGCCAGCAGCCGCGGUAAUACGGAAGGUGCAAGCGUUAAUCGGAAUUACUGGGCGUAAAGCGCGCGUAGGUGGUUUGUUAAGUUGGAUGUGAAAGCCCUGGGCUCAACCUAGGAACUGCAUCCAAAACUAACUCACUAGAGUACGAUAGA
This 603-nucleotide ribosomal RNA is filed under the name uncultured marine bacterium. Its description in RNAcentral is "bacterial SSU rRNA". It matches the Rfam family "Bacterial small subunit ribosomal RNA", at positions 56 to 655 of the family's 1533-position model. The record is from RNAcentral.